AGCAGCCGCGGUAAUUCCAGCUCCAAUAGCGUAUAUUAAAGUUGUUGCAGUUAAAAAGCUCGUAGUUGAAUUUCAGGCCUGGCUGGACGGUCCGCCCUUCGGGUGAGUACUGUCUGUGGUCGGGUCCUACCUUCUGGCGAAGCGUCAUGGCCUUAACCGGCCGUGGCGGGGAACCAGGACUUUUACUGUGAAAAAAUUAGAGUGUUCAAAGCAGGCAAUCGCUUGGAUACAUUAGCAUGGAAUAAUGGAAUAGGACAAUGGUUCUAUUUGUUGGUUUCUAGGACCGUUGUAAUGAUUAAUAGGGAUAGUUGGGGGCAUUAGUAUUCAAUUGUCAGAGGUGAAAUUCUUGGAUUUAUUGAAGACUAACUACUGCGAAAGCAUUUGCCAAGGAUGUUUUCAUUAAUCAAGAACGAAAGUUAGGGGAUCGAAGACGAUCAGAUACCGUCGUAGUCCUAACCAUAAACUAUGCCGACUAGGAAUCGGGCGAUGCUGAAAAAAUGACGC
Molecule: ribosomal RNA, 504 nt
Filed under: uncultured Glomeromycotina
Lineage: Eukaryota; Fungi; Glomeromycota
Description: SSU rRNA
Rfam family: Eukaryotic small subunit ribosomal RNA
Source: RNAcentral